UAUUUAAUCUGUUAAUCUCCUGUACUUAGCAUGUCAGUAAUUCAUUAUGCUCAUUGAAAUUGAAGUUAUCGGAAGUAAACAUAAUGUGGGAGGACAAUUGUUUAAGAAUAUUUAGGAACUUUACAAAAAAUGCAUAUGCAAAGGAACAUGCAUGAACAAAACAUGUUAAUGUUAAAAAUAUAUGACGUUCCUUGUGGAAGCAAGUGUCAUCUUGGGCCAGAGUAACAAAAUAUGAUUCACGGAUAUAAAAUUAAACAAAAUUUAGUAUUUGAUUUUAAUUGUUCGCUUAUUCACUUUAUCCAUCUU
Molecule: long non-coding RNA, 306 nt
Filed under: Mytilus galloprovincialis (Mediterranean mussel)
Lineage: Eukaryota; Metazoa; Mollusca; Bivalvia; Mytilida; Mytilidae
Source: RNAcentral